RNAcentral lists this ribosomal RNA (285 nucleotides) under Vallisneria americana (American eelgrass). Its description in RNAcentral is "partial 26S ribosomal RNA". It matches the Rfam family "Eukaryotic large subunit ribosomal RNA", at positions 1 to 288 of the family's 3401-position model. The record is from RNAcentral. Lineage: Eukaryota; Viridiplantae; Streptophyta; Magnoliopsida; Alismatales; Hydrocharitaceae.
CCCAGGUCAGGCGAGGCCACCCGCUGAGUUUAAGCAUAUCAAUAAGCGGUGGAGAAGAAACUUACGAGGAUUCCCCUAGUAACGGCGAGCGAACCGGGAACAGCCCAGCUUGAGAAUCAGAUGGCCAUGCCUUCUGAAUUGUAGUCUGUAGAAGCAUCCUCAGCGACGGACCGGGUGCAAGUCCCCUGGAAGGGGGCGUCUGAGAGGGUGAGAGCCCCGUCGUGCCUGGAACCUGUCGUACCACGAGGUGCUGUCGGCGAGUCGGGUUGUUUGGGAAUGCAGCCC